AACGAACGCUGGCGGCAGGCCUAACACAUGCAAGUCGAACGCUCCGCAAGGGGAGUGGCAGACGGGUGAGUAACACGUGGGAGCCUACCUCGAGGUGCGGAACAACCAAGGGAAACUUUGGCUAAUACCGCAUGUGCCCUUAGGGGGAAAGAUUUAUCGCCUUGGGAUGGGCCCGCGUCGGAUUAGCUAGUUGGUGUGGUAAUGGGCGCACCAAGGCGACGAUCCGUAGCUGGUCUGAGAGGAUGAUCAGCCACACUGGGACUGAGACACGGCCCAGACUCCUACGGGAGGCAGCAGUGGGGAAUAUUGGACAAUGGGCGCAAGCCUGAUCCAGCCAUGCCGCGUGUGUGAUGAAGGCCUUAGGGUUGUAAAGCACUUUCGCCGAUGAAGAUAAUGACUGUAGUCGGAGAAGAAGCCCCGGCUAACUUCGUGCCAGCAGCCGCGGU
RNAcentral lists this ribosomal RNA (446 nucleotides) under uncultured bacterium. RNAcentral describes it as "bacterial SSU rRNA". It matches the Rfam family "Bacterial small subunit ribosomal RNA", at positions 29 to 521 of the family's 1533-position model. The record is from RNAcentral.